UAGAUCAAGGAAAGUGGCAGGAUGAGCCAUGAGGUGAUUCAAGAAGAAGCAAGUAGGACUAAAGUCUCAACAUAUACAGCAAGGACAGAAAUAGCCUCAGAGUUAAAAUUAAAAAUAAUAAUCGUGAUCAUAAUACUCAUCAGAACCCAACUUGGCAAAUUAAACACUGCCUCUUCCCAAACCCUAUACACUAGUGGUCUCCAACCUUUUUAAGUAGGAGAUCACCUUUGGCAUUUAAAAGCAACCCAAGAUCUACUGUGCACCAUCGCCAACCCCCUGCCCAGCAGGGUCUUAUUCAAUCAAAGAAGAUGCCAACGAGUGUACAUGCUGGUCAUCUUCAUAAAAGGUGCCAGGAGAAAGAUUUAUAGAUUCUAGGGUCGGAAGGGACCUUGGUGGGCCAUCUAGCCCGAUCUCCUGCCCCUGGCAGGCAAGAAAAGGGUCACCAAACCUGGGGUCAUGUGAUCCCAACCAGGUGCCUGUCCAGCCUCCUCUAGAAGACCCCCAAGGAUGGGGCGAGCACCACCUCUCUUGGAAGCCCAUUGCAGAUCCUGGCAACCCUGACUGUGAAGAACUUUUUCUGAUGUCCAGUCUAAAGUCAUCAACACAGGAGAGCAAACCUAGUUUUCUGAUUCUGUCCAGUAUGACGCAGUAGCUAGCUUACUAGCUUACUAUCGGAGAACUGCAGAGUUAAUCCA
This is a long non-coding RNA of Alligator mississippiensis (American alligator), 695 nucleotides long. RefSeq lists it as uncharacterized. The transcript has 3 exons. NCBI's taxonomy places the organism in Eukaryota, Metazoa, Chordata, Crocodylia, Alligatoridae. The record is from RefSeq and is a predicted model, not a curated record.